UAAUACAGAGGUCUCGAGCGUUAGUCGGAAUCACUGGGCUUAAAGCGUGCGUAGGCGGAUGUGCAGGCGUCGUGUGAAAGCCCUCGGCUCAACCGGGGAAUUGCACGGCGAACCGCAUGUCUCGAGACAAGUAGGGGCGGUCGGAACGAUAGGUGGAGUGGUGAAAUGCGUUGAUAUCUAUCGGAACGCCAAAGGUGAAGACAGACCGCUGGGCUUGUUCUGACGCUGAGGCACGAAAGCGUGGGGAGCAAACGGGAUUAGAUACCCCGGUAGUCCACGCCCUAAACAAUGUGCACUAGAUCGAAGGAGGUACUGACGCCUUUUUCGGUCGAAGUAAAAACGUUGAGUGCACCGCCUGGGGAGUACGGUCGCAAGGCUA
Molecule: ribosomal RNA, 379 nt
Filed under: uncultured bacterium
Lineage: Bacteria
Description: bacterial SSU rRNA
Rfam family: Bacterial small subunit ribosomal RNA
Source: RNAcentral